This 205-nucleotide long non-coding RNA is filed under the name Lathyrus oleraceus (garden pea). RNAcentral describes it as "Pisum sativum (pea) long non-coding RNA (PSAT_LNC014573)". The record is from RNAcentral. Lineage: Eukaryota; Viridiplantae; Streptophyta; Magnoliopsida; Fabales; Fabaceae.
AAAGGUUACUAUUCCAACAGCAACCCCAAACUUAGAUAGAAAUGUAGAGAUGAAAUCAAUUCUCACAUACUCUGAACAGGGUAGGAUGGGUAAAAGGUCAUGGCUUUAGAAAAAAACGGGUAUAUCAAAAAUAAAUGAUUAACAGGCUCAACAGGGUAAAACAAUGGAUAAUAAUAAUAAUGGGAUGGCUAGAAGGGCUCUAGGU